RNAcentral lists this ribosomal RNA (253 nucleotides) under uncultured bacterium. Its description in RNAcentral is "partial 16S ribosomal RNA". It matches the Rfam family "Bacterial small subunit ribosomal RNA", at positions 524 to 776 of the family's 1533-position model. The record is from RNAcentral.
UACGUAGGGUGCAAGCGUUGUCCGGAAUUAUUGGGCGUAAAGAGCUCGUAGGUGGCUUGUCACGUCGGGUGUGAAAUCCCAGGGCUUAACCCUGGGUCUGCAUUCGAUACGGGCUGGCUAGGGUCCUUCAGGGGAGACUGGAAUUCCUGGUGUAGCGGUGAAAUGCGCAGAUAUCAGGAGGAACACCGGUGGCGAAGGCGGGUCUCUGGGCCACUACUGACGCUGAGAAGCGAAAGCAUGGGGAGCGAACAGG